This 490-nucleotide ribosomal RNA is filed under the name uncultured bacterium. RNAcentral describes it as "partial 16S ribosomal RNA". It matches the Rfam family "Bacterial small subunit ribosomal RNA", at positions 30 to 507 of the family's 1533-position model. The record is from RNAcentral.
AUUGAACGCUGGCGGCAGGCCUAACACAUGCAAGUCGAACGGUAACAGGAAACAGCUUGCUGUUUCGCUGACGAGUGGCGGACGGGUGAGUAAUGUCUGGGAAACUGCCUGAUGGAGGGGGAUAACUACUGGAAACGGUAGCUAAUACCGCAUAACGUCGCAAGACCAAAGAGGGGGACCUUCGGGCCUCUUGCCAUCGGAUUUGCCCAGAUGGGAUUAGCUAGUAGGUGGGGUAACGGCUCACCUAGGCGACGAUCCGUAGCCGGUCUGAGAGGAUGACCGGCCACACUGGAACUGAGACACGGUCCAGACUCCUACGGGAGGCAGCAGUGGGGAAUAUUGCACAAUGGGCGCAAGCCUGAUGCAGCCAUGCCGCGUGUAUGAAGAAGGCCUUCGGGUUGUAAAGUACUUUCAGCGGGGAUGACGGGAGUAAAGUUAAUACCUGUGCUCAUUGACGUUACCCGCAGAAGAAGCACCGGCUAACUCCGUG